UGCCAGAGCCGCGGUAAGACGUAGGGACCGAGCGUUGUCCGGAAUUAUUGGGCGUAAAGAGCUCGUAGGCGGUUGCGUAAGUCGGAUGUGAAAGCUCAGGGCUCAACCCUGAGACGCCAUCCGAUACUGCGCUGACUUGAAUCCAGUAGGGGAGUGUGGAAUUCCUGGUGUAGCGGUGAAAUGCGCAGAUAUCAGGAGGAACACCUAUGGCGAAGGCAGCACUCUGGGCUGGUAUUGACGCUGAGGAGCGAAAGCAUGGGGAGCGAACAGGAUUAGAUA
This 279-nucleotide ribosomal RNA is filed under the name uncultured bacterium. RNAcentral describes it as "partial 16S ribosomal RNA". It matches the Rfam family "Bacterial small subunit ribosomal RNA", at positions 506 to 784 of the family's 1533-position model. The record is from RNAcentral.